Molecule: ribosomal RNA, 253 nt
Filed under: uncultured bacterium
Lineage: Bacteria
Description: partial 16S ribosomal RNA
Rfam family: Bacterial small subunit ribosomal RNA
Source: RNAcentral
UACGAAGGGGGCUAGCGUUGUUCGGAUUUACUGGGCGUAAAGCGCACGUAGGCGGAUCGUUAAGUCGGGGGUGAAAUCCUGGAGCUCAACUCCAGAACUGCCUUCGAUACUGGCGAUCUUGAGUCCGGAAGAGGUGAGUGGAACUCCUAGUGUAGAGGUGAAAUUCGUAGAUAUUCGGAAGAACACCAGUGGCGAAGGCGGCUCACUGGACUGGUAUUGACGCUGAGGUGCGAAAGCGUGGGGAGCAAACAGG